This 679-nucleotide long non-coding RNA is filed under the name Ananas comosus (pineapple). Its description in RNAcentral is "long non-coding RNA (ACOM_LNC040172)". The record is from RNAcentral. Lineage: Eukaryota; Viridiplantae; Streptophyta; Magnoliopsida; Poales; Bromeliaceae.
AGAAUGUAGCGUUAUUUGAUUAAGUUUGUUCGGUUGUAGUUAAAAGUAUUAAUUAUAUAUUUUUAAAAAUUUAAAAAUUUUUAAGUUUUUUUUUUUUUUUAGUUUUCUAUAUAAGAUUAUAGUAAAAUCUAGUUUGGUAUACUAUCGGUAAUACGGAUCGGCCCUGCUAUACUUGAUCUAUACUAGUAAAAGUAUUUAAAAACUAAAUUUCAUAAUUUUUCAACAUUAUUUUGGGUAGUGAUCAAAAGGUCUCAAAAUUAACAAUUUUAACGAUCGAUGUAACGCGUUUAUGAAUUUAACGGUGUAAAACAAUUCAAAUCUGAUGAAAUUUUUAUAAUUUUUUUUUUUAUUAUUUAGAGUAAGAUCACUAACUUUGAUCUUAAAUUCAAAUAUUUUAUUAUCAUUUUUUAUGAGAUUUUUAUUUUCAUCCGUUUAUUUUUAGACUACUCAUUUGAUAAGUAAAUGAUGUCGAAAAAUUAUAAAAUUUAAUUUUCAAAUACUUUCAAUAGUGCAGAUCAAGUUUAACGGAGCCGAUCGUCGAUUUGAAAACUAUAUCACUGAAAAUAAUAUUAUUGAAAAUAAUUUGGUAGCAUGGAGAUUUUCGUGCUACCGAUAGUAUAUCAGCCUAAUUCAUUAUAUUAAUUGUUAUUAUAAUUUUAUAGUAUUGAAGAAGAAAAAU